Molecule: long non-coding RNA, 741 nt
Organism: Nasonia vitripennis (jewel wasp)
Lineage: Eukaryota; Metazoa; Arthropoda; Insecta; Hymenoptera; Pteromalidae
Exons: 2
Source: RefSeq, a predicted model, not a curated record
AAAACAGACUGCAGAAGUAAUUCGCUCAGAGAGCCGUACGGAGACAUCCCCGAGCAGAGGGUAGUCAAGAUGAAGCUUUCAAAGCCGAUAAUGGAGAAGAAUUUUCCAUCCUGAAAACAGUUUCUCGGCCACUUCUUCCGGCUGUACCAAAGCGGCACUUUCAGAUAUGAGCUUAGUUUCUAGGGGCUUCGACUUUUCCUCUUCGGCGAAGCCCGGGGUGUCCGUAUCCGGCGGAAGAGACAGGGUGACGGACACGUUAUAAGGCGUUAAUUCCAUGGCUAAACUCUCGGCUAAGCCUCUUAAUGCAAAUUUAGUAGCGCUGUAGGCAGAGAAUCCGAAAAUUCCUAGAUGCAUGGAUAGAAGAGAAUCGUUAUUCUGAAGUGAUUGCGUGGAAAUAAUUAGCGUAGUAUUGUCCAUGCAAAGUCUGAGAGCUAUUAUUAUUUGCAAGCCGUUAUUUUUUUAUAAUUAUUUUUCUUAAUUUAUAGUCUUUUCUUUGCCAAGAAAAAUAUCAAACGCAUUUUUUUUUUUAAUAUGAAGAAGUUGUCAGUGAAUCUGUAUCCAAUAAAAUUUGAAUAAUAAGUAAUAUAAAAAAAUUAACUACAGGUAAUUAAAAUACAAAAAUAUCAUCAUACAAUCAUACCCAAUAAGCCAGCCUGGGAAGACACGAGCACAAUCUUGCCUUCCUUCCUCCUCUUCAUGCUUGGCACCACGGCCUUGGUGCAAUUAUAACUUCCGAUAAAA